Molecule: long non-coding RNA, 830 nt
Filed under: Capsicum annuum
Lineage: Eukaryota; Viridiplantae; Streptophyta; Magnoliopsida; Solanales; Solanaceae
Description: long non-coding RNA (CANN_LNC001618)
Source: RNAcentral
UCUACGCUCCUUUCGCUAGUAGCAACUCUAAUACCAACUCAUCUUGGUAACUCUCCAAGGACCCUCUCUACUGAUUAACUCUAAUCAGUCACAAGCUUAGGCAACUCUACCAAAACACCUCUCUCAACAAAAGAAAACACUACUCUUAUAAUAUGAGUAGUUCAAUUACAAAUCAAUACUCACUCAAUAACACUCACUCACUCGUUAAGCAUACUGCAAAGAUAAAAACAUGAGUAAUGCUUGAGCAAUCUUGAAAUGAAGCUUUUGCUGGCUCUCUUCACUCUUUGAUUUUUGCAAAUGCUAAUUUGAUGAAGGGGCAUCUUUUUCCUUUUAUAGCUGAGUGAUGAUUAGGGCUGAAAGAUUAUUGGACCAGCUAUCCUAAUUAGUACAAAAUAUCACCUGUAAGUUUGUUACACGAGAGGACAAAAUAAUACAGACAAUGGGUACUACUUGUACUGUAGCUUGCACAUCGAGGGACCUGAUCUCUUGUAGUUAGAUGCUCAUCAUCAAAACUACAUAUAUUAAUUUUAUUCCUUUUUUAUGAUGAAAAACCAACCAUUCAGCUUUGGGAAUCAAUGCACAUUCAUCAUAUUUAAUUAGUGUGAUUACCACCUGAAGAUGAAUGUUCCCCUUAUAAUCAUGCUUUAUCCAUCAUGCAACAUAGGGACCUGGUCCUUUGUUGUCUUUUUCAACAAAAAAUCUGAGCAUAUGUUUGCUUCCCUCUAUCAACAUACACCUUCAUUCAUCUAUUCAACACAUCAUAUACUUUUCCCUAUCAUCAUGUCAUUAAAAUCUACAACUCAAUUCACCUAGUACUUGGUCCCUACANN